This 383-nucleotide ribosomal RNA is filed under the name uncultured eukaryote. RNAcentral's name for it is "partial 18S ribosomal RNA". It matches the Rfam family "Eukaryotic small subunit ribosomal RNA", at positions 592 to 976 of the family's 1831-position model. The record is from RNAcentral.
CAAUAGCGUAUAUUAAAGUUGUUGCAGUUAAAAAGCUCGUAGUUGGAUUUCUGGUGGGAGCGAUCGGUCUGGCGCUUAGCGCGAGUACUUGCAUCGUCUCCGGCCAUCCUUGGGGAGAGUCUGUCUGGCAUUAGGUUGUCGGGCAGAGGAUCCUCAUCGUUUACUGUGAAAAAAUUAGAGUGUUCAAAGCAGGCUUAUGCCGUUGAAUAUAUUAGCAUGGAAUAAUAAGAUAGGACUUUGGUACUAUUUUGUUGGUUUGCGCACCAAAGUAAUGAUUAAUAGGGACAGUUGGGGGUAUUCGUAUUCCGUUGUCAGAGGUGAAAUUCUUGGAUUUACGGAAGACGAACUACUGCGAAAGCAUUUGCCAAGGAUGGUUUCAUUAA